This 484-nucleotide ribosomal RNA is filed under the name uncultured bacterium. Its description in RNAcentral is "partial 16S ribosomal RNA". It matches the Rfam family "Bacterial small subunit ribosomal RNA", at positions 30 to 507 of the family's 1533-position model. The record is from RNAcentral.
AUUGAACGCUGGCGGCAGGCCUAACACAUGCAAGUCGAGCGGAUGAAGGGAGCUUGCUCCUGGAUUCAGCGGCGGACGGGUGAGUAAUGCCUAGGAAUCUGCCUGGUAGUGGGGGAUAACGUCCGGAAACGGGCGCUAAUACCGCAUACGUCCUGAGGGAGAAAGUGGGGGAUCUUCGGACCUCACGCUAUCAGAUGAGCCUAGGUCGGAUUAGCUAGUUGGUGGGGUAAAGGCCUACCAAGGCGACGAUCCGUAACUGGUCUGAGAGGAUGAUCAGUCGCACUGGAACUGAGACACGGUCCAGACUCCUACGGGAGGCAGCAGUGGGGAAUAUUGGACAAUGGGCGAAAGCCUGAUCCAGCCAUGCCGCGUGUGUGAAGAAGGUCUUCGGAUUGUAAAGCACUUUAAGUUGGGAGGAAGGGCAGUAAGUUAAUACCUUGCUGUUUUGACGUUACCAACAGGAUAAGCACCGGCUAACUUCGUG